This 151-nucleotide non-coding RNA is filed under the name Pan paniscus (pygmy chimpanzee). Lineage: Eukaryota; Metazoa; Chordata; Mammalia; Primates; Hominidae. The record is from Rfam by way of RNAcentral. RNAcentral also lists the same sequence under 1 other name.
GCUGGGCAUGGUGGCACGUGCCUGUAAUCCCAGCUACUCCUCAGGGGGCUGAGGCAGGAGGAUCACUUGAACCCGGGAGUUGGAGGUUGCAGUGAGCCAAGAUGGUGCCACUGCACUCCAGCCUGGGUGACAGAGUGAGACUCUGUCUCAA